AUGACCCAACCAAAGAAGUAUGGGGGACUUGGCUUCAGAGAUCUCAAACUUUUUCAUCUUGCAUUCCUAGCACAGCAAGCAUGGAGGAUUCUUGUAAGUCCAGAGGCCUUGAGCUCCCGGAUACUAAAGGCGAUUCAUUUCACAAACACAUGCAUUAUUCAUGUUGAAUUGGGAUCAUGCCCAUUGCAAAUUUGUCAUGAAGUUAUGGAGGGCAGGGACAUUCUCACAGAAGGAAUUAUUCAAAGGAUCAGCGAUGGGAUCUCAACUUACGUGUGGGACCAGAAUUGGAUUAUGAGGAACUCCUCCAUGCGACCUCUAGUAUGCCUGGAUCAAAAUCAUCAUGUAUUGGUUAGUGAAUUGAUUGAUAGCACAUCUGCUUCUUGGCGCAAUGUUGUUCUUGAGAAGUUCUUCUUGCCAUCAUAUGUUCAAGAAACAAAAGAUAUUCCCUUGUGCACUAGUCUGUUGAGGACUUUUGGGCUUGGCGUUUUGAGAAAAAAGGGAUUUUUUGGUAAGAUCAGCCAUAUUAUUGGUAACCAUUAG
RNAcentral lists this ribosomal RNA (540 nucleotides) under Triticum aestivum (bread wheat). Its description in RNAcentral is "partial small subunit ribosomal RNA". Lineage: Eukaryota; Viridiplantae; Streptophyta; Magnoliopsida; Poales; Poaceae. The record is from RNAcentral.